Molecule: ribosomal RNA, 292 nt
Filed under: uncultured bacterium
Lineage: Bacteria
Description: partial 16S ribosomal RNA
Rfam family: Bacterial small subunit ribosomal RNA
Source: RNAcentral
GUGUCAGCCGCCGCGGUAAGACGGAGGGUGCUAGCGUUGUUCGGAAUUACUGGGCGUAAAGGGCGCGUAGGCGGCCCUGUCAGUCGGGUGUGAAAGCCCGGGGCUCAACCCCGGAACGGCACCCGAGACGGCAGGGCUGGAGACCGGGAGAGGAGGGUGGAAUAGCCAGUGUAGAGGUGAAAUUCGUAGAUAUUGGCUGGAACACCGGUGGCGAAAGCGGCUCUCUGGCCCGGUUCUGACGCUGAGGCGCGAAAGCGUGGGGAGCAAACAGGAUUAGAAACCCUUGUAGUCC